This 462-nucleotide ribosomal RNA is filed under the name uncultured bacterium. RNAcentral's name for it is "partial 16S ribosomal RNA". It matches the Rfam family "Bacterial small subunit ribosomal RNA", at positions 28 to 507 of the family's 1533-position model. The record is from RNAcentral.
GACGAACGCUGGCGGCGUGCCUAACACAUGCAAGUCGAGCGGUAAGGCCUUUCGGGGUACACGAGCGGCGAACGGGUGAGUAACACGUGGGUGAUCUGCCCUGCACUUCGGGAUAAGCCUGGGAAACUGGGUCUAAUACCGGAUAUGACCUCCUAUCGCAUGGUGGGUGGUGGAAAGAUUUAUCGGUGCAGGAUGGGCCCGCGGCCUAUCAGCUUGUUGGUGGGGUAAUGGCCUACCAAGGCGACGACGGGUAGCCGACCUGAGAGGGUGACCGGCCACACUGGGACUGAGACACGGCCCAGACUCCUACGGGAGGCAGCAGUGGGGAAUAUUGCACAAUGGGCGAAAGCCUGAUGCAGCGACGCCGCGUGAGGGAUGACGGCCUUCGGGUUGUAAACCUCUUUCAGCAGGGACGAAGCGCAAGUGACGGUACCUGCAGAAGAAGCACCGGCUAACUACGUG